This 440-nucleotide long non-coding RNA is filed under the name Homo sapiens (human). RNAcentral's name for it is "HSALNT0319891". The record is from RNAcentral. Lineage: Eukaryota; Metazoa; Chordata; Mammalia; Primates; Hominidae.
CCUGCACAGAGGGAAAGAAGAAUCUCAACAUACAGUCCUCAGCAGCUUUAGCAUGGGCAACAAAUUAAGUCUCUGUAAAAGGCCCAAAGGACAGGGUUUGGUGAGAUUCUGGAGAGCUGGAAACAUGGAGGUUGACAGGAAUGUAAAGAAGAACUCAUUUACAUGCCAGGAGGGUGGAACACCCCAAUUCCAUGAGGAUAACUGCUCCUGUACUCCAGACCUCACCCCAUGUGUCUCUUCAUCUGGCUGGUUAUUUGUCCUUUAAGAUCUCCUUACUCAACCAGUAAAUGUGUCUUUACAUUGUUUUAGUCUUGAACUAGAAGAUGAAAGCAUCAAAUAAAGAAAUAUACUGUGGGUAUAUGGAUUACAAAAAAAGGCUGAACAUGAUGUUUCUAAAUGUUCUAGCAUCAAAUGUGAUCAACAUGCCUUCCCCUGUCUCC